GCCUACCCCUCACCCCAGACACCUAUUUCCCUUCUAUGCCUGCAGCUCAAACUCCAUUCCAGGGUAAAUACCAGCUCAGCUGUAAAGCAGCCUGCAGGGUCAGAGAGGAACCACAGGGAGGCGCUGCUCCCUUCAGUUAGUCGUUUGACACAACUUCAUCACACAUUCGUCGUGUGUUUCUGAGCACGUAUGUCUUUCUUUAGAGCCUGUGAUAUGACCUUGCAGGGCCGUUUGGCUUGCUUCACACGGGAGUCAAGAUUUCCUAGGCGAUUCCACCAAAGGAUCAAGAAACUGGAGGAACAACCCUCUCAGCUUUGGGUGUAUUCCCAAAUGAAACCUUCCACUGCUUCUCCACAGGCCAUGCCGUCUGCUUCCUACUUAGGACUUUCAAUCUUGCUGAUAUUGAGAGGGAUCAAUGGAGACUCAGUGACCCAGACAGAAGGUUCUGUUACCCUCUUUGAGGGGACACCUUUGACCCUGAAUUGCACUUACCAGAGCAGCUACACAGUUUUUGUUUUCUGGUAUGCCCAGUACCAAAACAAAGCUCCUCAAUUGCUCCUGAAAAGCUUAUCAGAAAACCAGAGGGCAGAGCAUCACGGUUUUCACGCCAGUCUUGUUAAGAGUGACAGCUCCUUCCACCUGCAGAAACGCUCUGUGAGAAUGUCAGACUCCGCUGUGUACUACUGCGUCCUAGGAGGCACAGUGAGAUCGCCUGCAGGGGGAGCCGAGCACAAACCCAGAGGGGGGCAGGAGGGCCCUGGAUGUGAGCAGCCUGGGAGGGGAGAAUGAUGAUUUCUCUCUAGUUAGAGUCUUGUGCUGGGCGCGGCCCCCAGGGAACAGAUACCUGAUGCCUCUGCCCUCAGGCACCCCGAAUUUUACUUCGAGCUAGGAAUGGAAGGAGGCAAUGUAGGUGAAAACUUAGAUUAUCAUUAUGCCUAUACAUAGAAUCCUAUAGUCAAUGGCCUUUUGUGUCUGGUUUCUUUCACACAGCAUCACCUUUUCAAGGUGUAUCCAUGUAUCAGUACUUUAGUACUUCUGUGGCUGCGCAAUAAUCCAUUGUAUGGAUACCCUAUAUUUUCUUUGUCCAUUCAUCAGUUGAUGGGCAUUUUGGUUGUUUCCACUUUUUGUGAAAACACUCAUGUACAGGAGCUCUGCUCUUUCAAACUUGAAUAUAUUUUAAGUUAGAGAUUUCUGGGUAUUUUUUCGUUUUGUUUUUUGCUUUAUUUGGGACUAACGUUUCUUUGUGGAUAUGCAAUUGAAUAAAUAUGAGAAAAUGCUCCUUACAAAUAAUGACUUAUACUAAAGUAAGAUAUUAUUCUAAGCUAUAUAUAUAUAUAUUCAUUCAAGAAAAUUUGGCACCUAUUCAUAUGUGCCAGUCAUUUUAAUAAGUAUUGGGAAUAUAUUUUAGGUAACAGAGUCUCCUCCUUUAGGAUUUUAUAAAAAUUUUGUGUGCAUUAAAAUACCACACAAGUCUUAAAAUCAUGCUUUUUUUUUUUUUAACAAAUCAUUUUAUUCAUUUACUGAACUGUGUUUGUUCCUAAAUAUUUGUGGUGCUUACAGCUUUGCUUUUUGGGUUUUUGUUGGUGGUGGUGGUGUUACUGUUGUUUUUUAGGGCAAGAGUGACUGGGGGAGAGAGACACAAAGAGAGAGAGAAAGAGAGAGAGAGAGAGAGAGGAAUCUUAAGCAGGCUCCACACUUAGUGCAGAGCCUGACAUGGGGCUCAAUCUCAUGACCCUGGGAUCAUGACCUGAGCCAAAAUCAAGAGUCGGUCACUCAGCCAACUGAGCUGCCCAAGCGCCCCUAUGGUGCUUAGAGUUUUAUGGGCACUGGGCUAAGCACUUUAAAUUCCCCCCCUCCUAGAUACUACCAAAUUCUCAUUUGACAGAUGACGAAAUUGAGGUUUAGUGAUGUUGUGACUUAUUCAAGGUUACAUAACCAGCUGGGAGCAGAAGUUGGCCAGACCCAAAUCUGACGUGUGACCAAUAUUUUAACAACUAUUUGGUUGACCGUUCUAGAAAUCUGUCUUCUUUUUUUCCCAGAAUUCAACUGUAAUCUUAGAUUUCAUAAUUGUUGAUGUUUUCAUUUGAAGAAGAACCCAAUGCAAUAUUAAAAGCUGCAGUUUACUCAUUUGGCAACCACAGAAGUGUGUAUAUCUAUAUCUAUAUC
Acinonyx jubatus (cheetah) is the source of this 2166-nucleotide non-coding RNA. NCBI's taxonomy places the organism in Eukaryota, Metazoa, Chordata, Mammalia, Carnivora, Felidae. The record is from the annotation of a RefSeq genome assembly.